This is a long non-coding RNA of Etheostoma cragini (Arkansas darter), 133 nucleotides long. RefSeq lists it as uncharacterized. NCBI's taxonomy places the organism in Eukaryota, Metazoa, Chordata, Actinopteri, Perciformes, Percidae. The record is from RefSeq and is a predicted model, not a curated record. The transcript is spliced from 3 exons.
AAAAUACAUAAAAAAAGUAUUCCCAGUGGUUUAGACCUGGUGGGGGGCGACUUAGGCCCAGUGGGCCACCAGGCUUGCAAUACACUGGGGGAAACCCUGUAACUAUUUAUUCUCUUUACCUCUCAAGUCAGAG